RNAcentral lists this long non-coding RNA (918 nucleotides) under Heterocephalus glaber (naked mole-rat). RNAcentral describes it as "lncRNA (ENSHGLG00000033646.1)". Lineage: Eukaryota; Metazoa; Chordata; Mammalia; Rodentia; Bathyergidae. The record is from RNAcentral.
CUUUUCACCAGCUUUUUUCCCCUCAAGCCAGUAGACCCCAGACUCCAAAUGCAGAUCUUCAGGAGAAAUACUAAAGGAAUUCCUCCAAGGGCCGGGGAUUUAGCUCAGUGGUGCUGCACCUGCCUCGGAAGUGUAAGGUCCUGAGUUUGAUCCCUGGUACCAGAAAAAGAAAUUCCUCAGAGGAGUGGAUGAAGCUUGGCUAAAAGAAGUUAGGAUCAUUAAAGGCACUCAUUCAAAUUCGAACAAAAAAGCCCACAUACCCACACGCUUUCAUACAUACAUGCAUGCUAUGCACAUUGCCUGGCUGACAUUGCAAACUGCACUCUCACCUAGAUUCAAGCCUCUACAGACACUUAGAAGAUGCUCCCUUUGAGUUUCAUCUUCCUUCUCCAGCAGCUGCCUCUAGUAGGGUGCAAUUUCCCUUAUAAUGACUGCCUUCUCAGCAGGAGCCCCAACCUGCACAGGAUGGUCGGCGGAUUUUCUCCCUUUAUACUUAGUCUAUUUCACUGAGGUCACUGGUGUGAAGCCUAGUAAGGACUUAUUUAUCAUACGAUUUCUGGAACAUUUGGUUCCCUGACCAGGAAUCGGGAAUGCAAUAGUCCUUUUGGGCAUUGGCCCGAGCCUCACUGGAGGGAGCUGCUCUCUGUCCCCUCAAGACAAAAGGCGUGCUCCUGGGACAAAUUUCCUAGGCUCCCCAACAGGACACAGAGACCCGCUCACUGGUUGCAGAUUGCCUGAACCUGAGACAGAGAAGGAGAGAAGGAGGGCUGCUGCUGUUGGUGUCUCAUCUGUCUCUCUCCUUUGCUGGGCUUUACAAGUGCUAAGUUACUUAACCUGGCCCGGGCCGAUUGAUCCAGAACUCGCGCUGAGAUACUGUUUCUCAUUUCUGCUUCCCUGUGCUUUGCUUCCUGUUGUGCU